Molecule: ribosomal RNA, 491 nt
Filed under: uncultured bacterium
Lineage: Bacteria
Description: partial 16S ribosomal RNA
Rfam family: Bacterial small subunit ribosomal RNA
Source: RNAcentral
AGUGAACGCUGGCGGUAGGCCUAACACAUGCAAGUCGAACGGCAGCACAGUAAGAGCUUGCUCUUACGGGUGGCGAGUGGCGGACGGGUGAGGAAUACAUCGGAAUCUACUUUUUCGUGGGGGAUAACGUAGGGAAACUUACGCUAAUACCGCAUACGACCUACGGGUGAAAGCAGGGGAUCUUCGGACCUUGCGCGAUUGAAUGAGCCGAUGUCGGAUUAGCUAGUUGGCGGGGUAAAGGCCCACCAAGGCGACGAUCCGUAGCUGGUCUGAGAGGAUGAUCAGCCACACUGGAACUGAGACACGGUCCAGACUCCUACGGGAGGCAGCAGUGGGGAAUAUUGGACAAUGGGCGCAAGCCUGAUCCAGCCAUACCGCGUGGGUGAAGAAGGCCUUCGGGUUGUAAAGCCCUUUUGUUGGGAAAGAAAAGCAGCAGGUUAAUACCCCGCUGUUCUGACGGUACCCAAAGAAAAAGCACCGGCUAACUUCGU